RNAcentral lists this ribosomal RNA (406 nucleotides) under Bacillus subtilis. RNAcentral's name for it is "bacterial SSU rRNA". It matches the Rfam family "Bacterial small subunit ribosomal RNA", at positions 983 to 1393 of the family's 1533-position model. Lineage: Bacteria; Bacillati; Bacillota; Bacilli; Caryophanales; Bacillaceae. The record is from RNAcentral.
GGGGUAUCUGCUCCUAGAGAUAGGACGUCCCCUUCGGGGGCAGAGUGACAGGUGGUGCAUGGUUGUCGUCAGCUCGUGUCGUGAGAUGUUGGGUUAAGUCCCGCAACGAGCGCAACCCUUGAUCUUAGUUGCCAGCAUUCAGUUGGGCACUCUAAGGUGACUGCCGGUGACAAACCGGAGGAAGGUGGGGAUGACGUCAAAUCAUCAUGCCCCUUAUGACCUGGGCUACACACGUGCUACAAUGGACAGAACAAAGGGCAGCGAAACCGCGAGGUUAAGCCAAUCCCACAAAUCUGUUCUCAGUUCGGAUCGCAGUCUGCAACUCGACUGCGUGAAGCUGGAAUCGCUAGUAAUCGCGGAUCAGCAUGCCGCGGUGAAUACGUUCCCGGGUCUUGUAACACACCGA